Molecule: ribosomal RNA, 516 nt
Filed under: uncultured bacterium
Lineage: Bacteria
Description: partial 16S ribosomal RNA
Rfam family: Bacterial small subunit ribosomal RNA
Source: RNAcentral
GACGAACGCUGGCGGCGUGCCUAACACAUGCAAGUCGAACGGAGAAGUUCAGCAAUGGAUUUCUUAGUGGCGAACGGGUGAGUAACGCGUAGACAACCUGCCUCUAAGCUGGGGACAACAACUCGAAAGGGUUGCUAAUACCGAAUGUGAACAGUGCCUCGCAUGAGAUGCUGUUUGAAGGUGGCCUCUGAAUAUGCUACCGCUUAGAGAUGGGUCUGCGUCUGAUUAGCUAGUUGGAGGGGUAAUGGCCCACCAAGGCGACGAUCAGUAGCCGGUCUGAGAGGAUGAACGGCCACACUGGGACUGAGACACGGCCCAGACUCCUACGGGAGGCAGCAGUGGGGAAUCUUCCGCAAUGGACGAAAGUCUGACGGAGCAACGCCGCGUGAGUGAAGAAGGCCCUCGGGUCGUAAAGCUCUGUCUUCAGGGACGAAUGUGCAGAUUGUGAAUAAUGGUUUGUAAUGACGGUACCUGAGGAGGAAGCCACGGCUAACUACGUGCCAGCCGCCGCCGUAA